AUGAAAGUGUUACUUUUGCACCAAUGCUUCAUUGAAGAAACGACCAUUGUAGAAAAAUAAUCUGCUGCCAGAAGGAAAACUUAACAUGUUUAAAGUUCUACUUUUUUCCCUCGCUGUCGUUGUCAUCACCACACGGCACACAGCACACAGCACUCUUGGUUUGUGUCGCCAGUGCAAAUCAUGUUGCUAUGGCAGGAAGAGGGAAAGUGUAAACCCAAGAAAUGAAGCAGGUGUUGCAGAGUCAUACAAGAACCAGAGGCGUGUAUUUCUUAAAGAAAGGCUCAACAACGUGGCUCAAGGCUAUAGGAAUAAUUGAAUUCUAAGAAGGUUAUAACGGGAAACUGAUGGAAAGACUCUAGUAAAGAYCAUAAUGUCGCAAAGUUUAGUUUGAAAGUAAUGGAAAAAACUAAAAUAACUGUUGUAAUAUAUUUACUUCCAGGUAAUACAUAUAUAUUAAAACUAAAACUGUAAAUUUACUUCCAGGUAUGCAUAUAUUAAAACUGAAACUGUAAUAUCAAGA
This is a long non-coding RNA of Actinia tenebrosa (Australian red waratah sea anemone), 520 nucleotides long. RefSeq lists it as uncharacterized. The record is from RefSeq and is a predicted model, not a curated record. NCBI's taxonomy places the organism in Eukaryota, Metazoa, Cnidaria, Anthozoa, Actiniaria, Actiniidae.